Molecule: non-coding RNA, 24 nt
Filed under: Arabidopsis thaliana (thale cress)
Lineage: Eukaryota; Viridiplantae; Streptophyta; Magnoliopsida; Brassicales; Brassicaceae
Source: RNAcentral
UCCACAAAGAUUGAUGUUGUAGGU